This 494-nucleotide ribosomal RNA is filed under the name uncultured bacterium. RNAcentral describes it as "partial 16S ribosomal RNA". It matches the Rfam family "Bacterial small subunit ribosomal RNA", at positions 28 to 507 of the family's 1533-position model. The record is from RNAcentral.
GACGAACGCUGGCGGCGUGCUUAACACAUGCAAGUCGAACGGUGAAGCGCCUUCCUUUUUGGUGGGUGUGGAUGAGUGGCGAGCGGGUGAGUAACACGUGAGUAACCUGCCCCCUUCUUCUGGAUAACCGCAUGAAAGCGUGGCUAAUACGGGAUAUUCUGGGUCUGUCGCAUGAUGGGUCUGGGAAAGAUAUUGUUUCGGUGGGGGAUGGGCUCGCGGCCUAUCAGCUUGUUGGUGGGGUGAUGGCCUACCAAGGCGGUGACGGGUAGCCGGCCUGAGAGGGUGGACGGUCACACUGGGACUGAGACACGGACCAGACUCCUACGGGAGGCAGCAGUGGGGAAUAUUGCACAAUGGGCGCAAGCCUGAUGCAGCGACGCCGCGUGAGGGAUGGAGGCCUUCGGGUUGUGAACCUCUUUCGCCAGUGAAGCAGGCCUGCCUCGUUUGUGGGUGGGUUGACGGUAGCUGGAGAAGAAGCGCCGGCUAACUACGUG